This 582-nucleotide non-coding RNA is filed under the name Pongo abelii (Sumatran orangutan). The record is from RNAcentral. Lineage: Eukaryota; Metazoa; Chordata; Mammalia; Primates; Hominidae.
AGCUGUGGAUUCCAAAGCUCAGUAAAUUAAGGAAUUUCACAUUAUGAACUCAAUUUGAGAUGGGCUGGACUGGUGAUACCUGGAAGGGGUAAAUGAGAAUCCACUCUGGAGGCACUUUAUGCCUCAGGGAGCAUCCAGAAAUAAUUUUUCAGGGGCUGGAAACCUAACAAUUUCACUUCCUAGACAACUUGCUAAAAGUCACCUAAAGACAGUCUGGUUACUGCCAAAGAUAUGCUUUCAAAUAAGAUUUGGAUAAAGAAGGGAGGUAGAUGCCUUUUUUCAGCAGUGGAGUGAUGUCUAGACCAGUAGACAUAUGCAUCUAAGUGAACUCAUCACCAGCAACAAUUUCCUGAAACUUCCUGACCUCCAGAUUGCAGCUUCAUUAGUGUGAGUUUAAAGCCAACUAGAUGCCAUUCUCAGAUUCCACGCAUAUGGCCAAGGGUCCAGGAAAUAAGAAGAAACAGGGUUGAGGGGUUGGUGUUACGGGGCAUUUACUUGAAUUUUCUAUGCUAUAAUUGUCUCAUCUUUAAAAUGGUGAUAAUAAUAAAAUUGUCAGUUAUUAAAUAAAUUAACACAGUGAAA